This 272-nucleotide long non-coding RNA is filed under the name Homo sapiens (human). RNAcentral's name for it is "HSALNT0075844". The record is from RNAcentral. Lineage: Eukaryota; Metazoa; Chordata; Mammalia; Primates; Hominidae.
CAGCCCCAUAAACCUCUCUGCUCUAGGGCUUCUCCGCCCUCCGGUGAAAGCUACUGCUCGCCCCUGCAGUCACCACCUGUUCGGGCGGAACCUGCGGAGCGUGCACCUACGCCUCGGGCUCCUUUCCUCCUCCACUCCCCUUUCCUGCUGGGCACCCUGCUUUCCCUCUCCCAGAGAGGGUUUGCAACUUUUCUCCCAGGCUGGGGCUCGCCCUGCUUGGCUAACCCCCAAGAGCCACUGCCGUCCCGCAGCGCCCCUGCCCCCGAGUUGCC